GUCUGCAUGAUACUACACAUUUAAUAGCAAAUUUUAUAGCAUGAGUAGAAUAAAGACCAGACAGAUGUGAAUAAAUUUCCAUGUUACAAUCAGUUAAGAAGGAAAUGGAGUCUAAAAAUCAUAGUUGCCUUCAAUAAAACUGGUUUAGAGUUGAAUAAACAAGUAUCAUCAUUUUUUGUUUAAGUUAAUGGCUUCUAACGAUCUGAAAAAGGAGUCAUGUAAACUGUAUAGGUUCAUAAGUAACCGAAAAAUCUAAAAGGAAAAAAAUAUUGGCAGCAUCUAGACCAUCCCUAGUUUGAACUCAGACCCUUAUCUGCCACACUUUUGUUCCGUGAACUAUGAAGACUUAAAGAUAUCACUUUGCCACAUGUAGUGAAGAACAUACUU
This 387-nucleotide unclassified non-coding RNA is filed under the name Hevea brasiliensis (rubber tree). The record is from RNAcentral. Lineage: Eukaryota; Viridiplantae; Streptophyta; Magnoliopsida; Malpighiales; Euphorbiaceae.